GACGAACGCUGGCGGCGUGCCUAAUACAUGCAAGUUGAGCGCUGAAGGUUGGUACUUGUACCGACUGGAUGAGCAGCGAACGGGUGAGUAACGCGUGGGGAAUCUGCCUUUGAGCGGGGGACAACAUUUGGAAACGAAUGCUAAUACCGCAUAAAAACUUUAAACACAAGUUUUAAGUUUGAAAGAUGCAAUUGCAUCACUCAAAGAUGAUCCCGCGUUGUAUUAGCUAGUUGGUGAGGUAAAGGCUCACCAAGGCGAUGAUACAUAGCCGACCUGAGAGGGUGAUCGGCCACAUUGGGACUGAGACACGGCCCAAACUCCUACGGGAGGCAGCAGUAGGGAAUCUUCGGCAAUAGACGAAAGUCUGACCGAGCAACGCCGCGUGAGUGAAGAAGGUUUUCGGAUCGUAAAACUCUGUUGGUAGAGAAGAACGUUGGUGAGAGUGGAAAGCUCAUCAAGUGACGGCAACUACCCAGAAAGGGACGGCUAACUACGUG
This 497-nucleotide ribosomal RNA is filed under the name uncultured bacterium. RNAcentral's name for it is "partial 16S ribosomal RNA". It matches the Rfam family "Bacterial small subunit ribosomal RNA", at positions 28 to 507 of the family's 1533-position model. The record is from RNAcentral.